UACAGAGGGUGCGAGCGUUGUUCGGAAUUACUGGGCGUAAAGCGCGCGCAGGCGGCCUUUUAAGUCUGGCGGUGAAAUGCCGGGGCUCAACUCCGUGCACGCCGGGGGAUACUGGGAGGCUGGAGACAUGUAGAGGCAAGCGGAAUUCCGGGUGUAGCGGUGGAAUGCGUAGAGAUCCGGAAGAACACCUGAGGCGAAGGCGGCUUGCUGGGCAUGAUCUGACGCUGAGGCGCGAAAGCGUGGGGAGCAAACAGG
This 255-nucleotide ribosomal RNA is filed under the name uncultured bacterium. Its description in RNAcentral is "partial 16S ribosomal RNA". It matches the Rfam family "Bacterial small subunit ribosomal RNA", at positions 524 to 776 of the family's 1533-position model. The record is from RNAcentral.